GGAGGGGUGGGUGAGUGGUUGAAACCGGCGGUCUUGAAAACCGUUGAACGCGAGUUCCGGGGGUUCGAAUCCCUCCCCCUCCGCCA
Molecule: transfer RNA, 86 nt
Filed under: SAR324 cluster bacterium
Lineage: Bacteria; Deltaproteobacteria
Description: tRNA-Ser
Rfam family: tRNA
About the family: Transfer RNA (tRNA) molecules are approximately 80 nucleotides in length.
Source: RNAcentral